CCUACGGGUGGCAGCAGUGGGGGAUAUUGCACAAUGGGGGGAACCCUGAUGCAGCGACGCCGCGUGGGUGAAGAAGCGCCUCGGCGCGUAAAGCCCUGUCAGCAGGGAAGAAAAUGACGGUACCUGACGAAGAAGCCCCGGCUAACUACGUGCCAGCAGCCGCGGUAAUACGUAGGGGGCAAGCGUUAUCCGGUUUUACUGGGUGUAAAGGGGGGGGAGACGGCGAUGCAAGCCAGGAGGGAAAGCCCGGGGCCCAACCCCGGGACUGCGCUUGGAACUGCGUGGCUGGAGUGCAGGAGGGGCAGGCGGAAUUCCUGGUGUAGCGGUGAAAGGCGUAGAGAUCAGGAGGAACACCGGUGGCGAAGGCGGCCUGCUGGACUGCAACUGACGUUGAGGCCCGAAAGCGUGGGGAGCAAACAGGAUUAGAUACCCCUGUAGUC
Molecule: ribosomal RNA, 440 nt
Filed under: uncultured bacterium
Lineage: Bacteria
Description: partial 16S ribosomal RNA
Rfam family: Bacterial small subunit ribosomal RNA
Source: RNAcentral